Sebastes umbrosus (honeycomb rockfish) is the source of this 192-nucleotide long non-coding RNA. RefSeq lists it as uncharacterized. The transcript is spliced from 3 exons. The record is from RefSeq and is a predicted model, not a curated record. NCBI's taxonomy places the organism in Eukaryota, Metazoa, Chordata, Actinopteri, Perciformes, Sebastidae.
ACCAUGUUUUGGGCUUCGAAGCUUCGAAGCUUCGGGGUGCAGCGCAGCAGGCUGACAUGUUCUCCUGUCUGUCUGUCUCCAUCUCCUCGGUUUCAGUGCCACUGCCUCACUACUGUACACACAUGCACCUCGACACACACAAAACAGCGAUAUCCAUAUGAGAAUAACUAAUAUUAAAUCUUGAAUAUGAAU